UCAAAGCUUUAUCAAAUCCUAGUCAAUCUCUAAAUAAGUCCUAACCAAAUCCUAGACAAAUCCUAGUCAAAUCCAAAAUAAGUCUUAACCAAAUUCUAGACAAAUUCUAAUCAAACUCUAGUCAAAUCUUAAUCAAAUCCUAAUCAAAUCCUAAUCAAAUUCUAAACAAAUCCUAAUCAAACCUUAAAUAAAUUCUAAUCAAAUCCUAGAGAAAUCCUAAAUAAGCCAUAACCAAAUCCUAACCUAAACCAAAUCCUAACCCUAACCAAACCUUAAAUCAAAUCCAAAUCCUAAUUCUAAUCCUAACCAAAACUUAAAUCAAUCCAAAAUCCUAAUCCUAAUCUUAAACCGAAUCCUAAUCAAUUCCAAGUAAUUCCUACAACAGAUUUAAAUCUCAAUAAUUAAUAAAUAAACC
This 415-nucleotide long non-coding RNA is filed under the name Physcomitrium patens. RNAcentral's name for it is "long non-coding RNA (PPAT_LNC012576)". Lineage: Eukaryota; Viridiplantae; Streptophyta; Bryopsida; Funariales; Funariaceae. The record is from RNAcentral.